RNAcentral lists this ribosomal RNA (252 nucleotides) under uncultured bacterium. RNAcentral describes it as "partial 16S ribosomal RNA". It matches the Rfam family "Bacterial small subunit ribosomal RNA", at positions 524 to 776 of the family's 1533-position model. The record is from RNAcentral.
UACGUAGGUCCCGAGCGUUGUCCGGAUUUAUUGGGCGUAAAGCGAGCGCAGGUGGUUUAUUAAGUCUGGUGUAAAAGGCAGUGGCUCAACCAUUGUAUGCAUUGGAAACUGGUAGACUUGAGUGCAGGAGGGGAGAGUGGAAUUCCAUGUGUAGCGGUGAAAUGCGUAGAUAUAUGGAGGAACACCGGUGGCGAAAGCGGCUCUUUGGCCUGUAACUGACACUGAGGCUCGAAAGCGUGGGGAGCAAACAGG